GGUGGAUUGUGUGCAAUCGCUGUAAUAUUUUAUUUUUAUAAGGUCUUAAACAAGAAUAAAUUCGUUUCUUGCGAGCUCGUUGUGUCACUGCACGAGAAGCCGCGCCGUCUCGCGCUGUCAAAAGAGCUGAUGCAAAUCGUUCAUUUUCAAACUUCAACAGCUGAAAAACACCCUCUUUUAGCUCUUGGUUUGUUCUAAUGGGUGGAUUGUGUGCAAUCGCUGUAAUAUUUUAUUUUUAAAAGGUCUUAAACAAGAAUAAAUUCGUUUGUUGUGAGCCCGCUGUGAGACCACUCGCUGAACGGAGCGGUGAAUUCUCUCUCGUCUUUCUCUCUGUUCUGUGGCCAGAUAUACAUUUUUAAUAAGCCCUGACCCCUGUAAUAUUCAAAUAUGUUGGUUUAGCUUGUCAGAGUGAAAUAAAUUCAUGUAUUUAUAUGUAUUUUUAACCGAUUUAAAA
Long non-coding RNA from Cyprinus carpio carpio, 454 nucleotides. NCBI's taxonomy places the organism in Eukaryota, Metazoa, Chordata, Actinopteri, Cypriniformes, Cyprinidae. The record is from Ensembl.